CGCUGGCGGCACGCCUAACACAUGCAAGUCGAACGAAGUAGCAAUACUUAGUGGCAGACGGGUGAGUAACAUGUGGGUAUCUUCCCUUUGGCCUGGAAUAACACGAGGAAACUUGUGCUAAUACCGGAUAAGUCUUUACGGAGAAAGCUUUAUGCACCAUUGGAUGAGCCCGCACUUGAUUAGUUUGUUGGUAGGGUAAUGGCCUACCAAGACUGUGAUCAAUAGCUGAUUUGAGAGGAUGAUCAGCCACAUUGGGACUGAGACACGGCCCAAACUCCUACGGGAGGCAGCAGUGGGGAAUCUUGCACAAUGGAGGAAACUCUGAUGCAGCGAUGCCGCGUGAGUGAAGAAGGCCCUUGGGUUGUAAAGCUCUUUCGUCGGGGAAGAAAAUGACUGUACCCGAAUAAGAAGGUCCGGCUAACUUCGUGCCAGCAGCCGCGGUAAUACGAAGGGACCUAGCGUAGUUCGGAAUUACUGGGCUUAAAGAGUUCGUAGGUGGUUGAAAAAGUUGGUGGUGAAAUCCCAGAGCUUAACUCUGGAACUGCCAUCAAAACUUUUCAGCUAGAGUUUGAUAGAGGAAAGCAGAAUUUCUAGUGUAGAGGUGAAAUUCGUAGAUAUUAGAAAGAAUACCAAUUGCGAAGGCAGCUUUCUGGAUCAUUACUGACACUGAGGAACGAAAGCAUGGGUAGCGAAGAGGAUUAGAUACCCUCGUAGUCCAUGCCGUAAACGAUGUGUGUUAGACGUUGGAAAUUUAUUUUCAGUGUCGCAGCGAAAGCGAUAAACACACCGCCUGGGGAGUACG
RNAcentral lists this ribosomal RNA (802 nucleotides) under uncultured Pelagibacteraceae bacterium. RNAcentral's name for it is "bacterial SSU rRNA". It matches the Rfam family "Bacterial small subunit ribosomal RNA", at positions 34 to 884 of the family's 1533-position model. Lineage: Bacteria; Pseudomonadati; Pseudomonadota; Alphaproteobacteria; Candidatus Pelagibacterales; Candidatus Pelagibacteraceae. The record is from RNAcentral.